UUAGAGUUUGAUCCUGGCUCAGGACGAACGCUGGCGGCGUGCCUAAUACAUGCAAGUCGAACGAACUCUGGUAAUGAUUGGUGCUUGCAUCAUGAAUUACAUUUGAGUGAGUGGCGAACUGGUGAGUAACACGUGGGAAACCUGCCCAGAAGCGGGGGAUAACACCUGGAAACAGAUGCUAAUACCGCAUAACAACUUGGACCGCAUGGUCCGAGUUUGAAAGAUGGCUUCGGCUAUCACUUUUGGAUGGUCCCGCGGCGUAUUAGCUAGAUGGUGAGGUAACGGCUCACCAGCAAUGAUACGGCCUGUCUCAGUCCCAAAU
This 322-nucleotide ribosomal RNA is filed under the name Leuconostoc mesenteroides. Its description in RNAcentral is "bacterial SSU rRNA". It matches the Rfam family "Bacterial small subunit ribosomal RNA", at positions 1 to 301 of the family's 1533-position model. The record is from RNAcentral. Lineage: Bacteria; Bacillati; Bacillota; Bacilli; Lactobacillales; Lactobacillaceae.